RNAcentral lists this ribosomal RNA (427 nucleotides) under uncultured prokaryote. RNAcentral's name for it is "bacterial SSU rRNA". It matches the Rfam family "Bacterial small subunit ribosomal RNA", at positions 355 to 774 of the family's 1533-position model. The record is from RNAcentral.
UGGGGAAUUUUGGACAAUGGGCGCAAGCCUGAUCCAGCCAUGCCGCGUGAGUGAAGAAGGCCUUCGGGUUGUAAAGCUCUUUCAGCCGGGAAGAAAUCGUACGGGUUAAUACCCUGUGCGGAUGACGGUACCGGCAUAAGAAGCACCGGCUAACUACGUGCCAGCAGCCGCGGUAAUACGUAGGGUGCGAGCGUUAAUCGGAAUUACUGGGCGUAAAGCGUGCGCAGGCGGUUUGUUAAGAUAGGCGUGAAAUCCCCGGGCUCAACCUGGGAACUGCGCUUAUGACUGGCAGGCUAGAGUACGGCAGAGGGGGGUGGAAUUCCAGGUGUAGCAGUGAAAUGCGUAGAGAUGUGGAGGAACACCAAUGGCGAAGGCAGCCCCCUGGGUCGAUACUGACGCUCAUGCACGAAAGCGUGGGUAGCAAACA